Molecule: ribosomal RNA, 119 nt
Filed under: Olea europaea subsp. europaea
Lineage: Eukaryota; Viridiplantae; Streptophyta; Magnoliopsida; Lamiales; Oleaceae
Source: RNAcentral
GGGUGCGACCAUACCAGCACUAAAGCACCAGAUCCCAUCAAAACUCCGAAGUUAAGCGUGCUUAGGCUAGAGUAGUACUAGGAUGGGUGACCCACUGGGAAGUCUUCGUGUUGCACCAC